Molecule: small nuclear RNA, 159 nt
Organism: Rhipicephalus microplus (southern cattle tick)
Lineage: Eukaryota; Metazoa; Arthropoda; Arachnida; Ixodida; Ixodidae
Product: U1 spliceosomal RNA
Source: RefSeq, a predicted model, not a curated record
AUACUUACCUGGUGCUGGGGUAACCAUGGUCAACAUGGUGGUGCCCCCAGGAAGAGGCACGGGCAUUGCACUGCGUUCGUGCUCACCCCUGCCACUACCCCAAACUGGGGCAGAUAGGGCAUGCAAUUUUUCGUAGAUGUGUCUUCGUCUUCCCACUAG